RNAcentral lists this ribosomal RNA (687 nucleotides) under Pantoea sp. RNAcentral's name for it is "bacterial SSU rRNA". It matches the Rfam family "Bacterial small subunit ribosomal RNA", at positions 764 to 1451 of the family's 1533-position model. The record is from RNAcentral. Lineage: Bacteria; Pseudomonadati; Pseudomonadota; Gammaproteobacteria; Enterobacterales; Erwiniaceae.
GGGAGCAAACAGGAUUAGAUACCCUGGUAGUCCACGCCGUAAACGAUGUCGACUUGGAGGUUGUUCCCUUGAGGAGUGGCUUCCGGAGCUAACGCGUUAAGUCGACCGCCUGGGGAGUACGGCCGCAAGGUUAAAACUCAAAUGAAUUGACGGGGGCCCGCACAAGCGGUGGAGCAUGUGGUUUAAUUCGAUGCAACGCGAAGAACCUUACCUACUCUUGACAUCCACGGAAUUCGGCAGAGAUGCCUUAGUGCCUUCGGGAACCGUGAGACAGGUGCUGCAUGGCUGUCGUCAGCUCGUGUUGUGAAAUGUUGGGUUAAGUCCCGCAACGAGCGCAACCCUUAUCCUUUGUUGCCAGCGAUUCGGUCGGGAACUCAAAGGAGACUGCCGGUGAUAAACCGGAGGAAGGUGGGGAUGACGUCAAGUCAUCAUGGCCCUUACGAGUAGGGCUACACACGUGCUACAAUGGCGCAUACAAAGAGAAGCGACCUCGCGAGAGCAAGCGGACCUCAUAAAGUGCGUCGUAGUCCGGAUCGGAGUCUGCAACUCGACUCCGUGAAGUCGGAAUCGCUAGUAAUCGUGGAUCAGAAUGCCACGGUGAAUACGUUCCCGGGCCUUGUACACACCGCCCGUCACACCAUGGGAGUGGGUUGCAAAAGAAGUAGGUAGCUUAACCUCCGGGAGGGC